Molecule: ribosomal RNA, 565 nt
Filed under: uncultured bacterium
Lineage: Bacteria
Description: bacterial SSU rRNA
Rfam family: Bacterial small subunit ribosomal RNA
Source: RNAcentral
GAGUAACACGUAACUAACCUACCCUCGAGUGGGGAAUAACUUCGGGAAACCGAGGCUAAUACCGCAUAACAUCUUCUGGUUGAGAUACCGGUUGAUCAAAGCAGCAAUGGGCUUGAGGAGGGGGUCGCGGCUGAUUAGCUAGUUGGUGAGGUAACGGCUCACCAAGGCGAUGAUCAGUAGCCGGCCUGAGAGGGCGCACGGCCACACUGGAACUGAAACACGGUCCAGACUCCUACGGGAGGCAGCAGUGGGGAAUUUUGCGCAAUGGGGGAAACCCUGACGCAGCAACGCCGCGUGGAGGAUGAAGUCCCUUGGGACGUAAACUCCUUUCGAUCGGGACGAUUAUGACGGUACCGGAAGAAGAAGCCCCGGCUAACUUCGUGCCAGCAGCCGCGGUAAUACGAGGGGGACAAGCGUUGUUCGGAAUUAUUGGGCGUAAAGGGCGCGUAGGCGGUGCGGUAGGUCUGAUGUGAAAUCUCCGGGCUCAACUCGGAGCUUGCAUCAGACACUGCCGUGCUGGAGUGUGGGAGAGGUGCGUGGAAUUCCCGGUGUAGCGGUGAAAUGC